RUUCGAUUCCUUCCUUUCUUA
RNAcentral lists this transfer RNA (21 nucleotides) under Hippidion principale. Its description in RNAcentral is "partial tRNA-Ser". The record is from RNAcentral. Lineage: Eukaryota; Metazoa; Chordata; Mammalia; Perissodactyla; Equidae.